GCAAGGGGAGCGGCAGACGGGAGAGUAACACGUGGGAACGUGCCCUUUGGUUCGGAACAACACAGGGAAACUUGUGCUAAUACCGGAUAAGCCCUUACGGGGAAAGAUUUAUCGCCAAAGGAUCGGCCCGCGUCUGAUUAGCUAGUUGGUGAGGUAACGGCUCACCAAGGCUACGAUCAGUAGCUGGUCUGAGAGGAUGAUCAGCCUCACUGGGACUGAGACACGGCCCAGACUCCUACGGGAGGCAGCAGUGGGGAAUAUUGGACAAUGGGCGCAAGCCUGAUCCAGCCAUGCCGCGUGGAUGAUGAAGGCCCUAGGG
This 319-nucleotide ribosomal RNA is filed under the name uncultured bacterium. Its description in RNAcentral is "bacterial SSU rRNA". It matches the Rfam family "Bacterial small subunit ribosomal RNA", at positions 86 to 422 of the family's 1533-position model. The record is from RNAcentral.